ACGGAGGUUGCAAGCGUUGUUCGGAAUGACUGGGCGUAAAGGGAGCGCAGGCGGUUUGGUUAGUCUAAAGUGAAAUCCCAGGGCUCAACUCUGGACUGGCUUUGGAUACUGUCAAACUUGAGUACGUGAGAGGAGAUUGGAAUUCCCGGUGUAGUGGUGGAAUGCGUAGAGAUCGGGAGGAACACCAGAGGCGCAAGCGGGUGCCUGGGCGACGACUGACACUGAGGGACGAAAGCGUGGGGAGCGAACAG
RNAcentral lists this ribosomal RNA (251 nucleotides) under uncultured prokaryote. RNAcentral's name for it is "partial 16S ribosomal RNA". It matches the Rfam family "Bacterial small subunit ribosomal RNA", at positions 525 to 775 of the family's 1533-position model. The record is from RNAcentral.